Rhagoletis pomonella (apple maggot) is the source of this 98-nucleotide long non-coding RNA. RefSeq lists it as uncharacterized. The transcript is spliced from 2 exons. The record is from RefSeq and is a predicted model, not a curated record. NCBI's taxonomy places the organism in Eukaryota, Metazoa, Arthropoda, Insecta, Diptera, Tephritidae.
UAAUCUUGUUUUCCUCUGUUUUUUUGUUGAUAUUUAUAAUAAAGAAUCGCCCCUGAUGAUGCUAAGGUAGUUAGCGAAACGUUGGGCAAAGAAGUGGA